GCAAAAAUAGCUCAAUGGUAGAGUAUGCCUUGCCAAGGUUAAUGUUGAGGGUUCGAGUCCCUUUUUUUGCU
Molecule: transfer RNA, 71 nt
Filed under: Globisporangium ultimum DAOM BR144
Lineage: Eukaryota; Oomycota; Peronosporomycetes; Pythiales; Pythiaceae
Description: tRNA EPrPULG00000000002
Rfam family: tRNA
About the family: Transfer RNA (tRNA) molecules are approximately 80 nucleotides in length.
Source: Rfam by way of RNAcentral